RNAcentral lists this ribosomal RNA (253 nucleotides) under uncultured bacterium. RNAcentral describes it as "partial 16S ribosomal RNA". It matches the Rfam family "Bacterial small subunit ribosomal RNA", at positions 524 to 776 of the family's 1533-position model. The record is from RNAcentral.
UACGUAGGGGGCAAGCGUUAUCCGGAUUUACUGGGUGUAAAGGGAGCGUAGACGGCGAUGCAAGUCUGAAGUGAAAGGCGGGGGCCCAACCCCCGGACUGCUUUGGAAACUGUAUGGCUGGAGUGCAGGAGAGGUAAGUGGAAUUCCUAGUGUAGCGGUGAAAUGCGUAGAUAUUAGGAGGAACACCGGUGGCGAAAGCGGCUCUCUGGCCUGUAACUGACACUGAGGCUCGAAAGCGUGGGGAGCAAACAGG